CCUACGGGAGGCAGCAGUGAGGAAUAUUGGUCAAUGUCCGUAAGGCUGAACCAGCCAAGUAGCGUGAGGGAAGACUGCCCUAUGGGUUGUAAACCUCUUUUAUGCGGGGAUAAAGGUGUCCACGUGUGGGUGUUUGCAGGUACCGCAUGAAUAAGGACCGGCUAAUUCCGUGCCAGCAGCCGCGGUAAUACGGAAGGUCCGGGCGUUAUCCGGAUUGAUUGGGUUUAAAGGGAGCGUAGGCCGGUCUUUAAGCGUGCCGUGAAAUUUUGUGGCUCAACCAUGAGAGUGCGGCGCGAACUGGAGACCUUGAGUGCGCGGAAGGCAGGCGGAAUUCGUGGUGUAGCGGUGAAAUGCUUAGAUAUCACGAAGAACCCCGAUUGCGAAGGCAGCCUGCCGCAGCGUUACUGACGCUGAAGCUCGAAAGCGCGGGUAUCGAACAGGAUUAGAUACCCGGGUAGUC
RNAcentral lists this ribosomal RNA (460 nucleotides) under uncultured bacterium. RNAcentral's name for it is "partial 16S ribosomal RNA". It matches the Rfam family "Bacterial small subunit ribosomal RNA", at positions 338 to 795 of the family's 1533-position model. The record is from RNAcentral.